This 406-nucleotide ribosomal RNA is filed under the name uncultured bacterium. Its description in RNAcentral is "partial 16S ribosomal RNA". It matches the Rfam family "Bacterial small subunit ribosomal RNA", at positions 30 to 526 of the family's 1533-position model. The record is from RNAcentral.
AUUGAACGCUGGCGGCAGGCCUAACACAUGCAAGUCGAACGAGUGGCGGACGGGUGAGUAAUGUCUGGGAAACUGCCUGAUGGAGGGGGAUAACUACUGGAAUCGGUAGCUAAUACCGCAUACCAUCAGAUGUGCCCAGAUGGGAUUAGCUAGUUGGUGGGGUAACGGCUCACCAAGGGUACGUUCCAUAGCUGGUCUGAGAGGAUGACCAGCCACACUGGAACUGAGACGCGGUCCAGACUCCUACGUGAGGCAGCAGUGGGGAAUAUUGCACUAUGGGCGCAAGCCUGGUGCAGCCAUGCCGAGUGUAUGAAGAAGGCCUUGAGGUUGUAAAGUACUUUCAGCGGGGAAGCGUUACCCGCAGAAGAAGCACCGGCUAACUCCGUACCAGCCGCCGCGGUAAUAC